RNAcentral lists this ribosomal RNA (64 nucleotides) under uncultured bacterium. RNAcentral describes it as "partial 16S ribosomal RNA". The record is from RNAcentral.
UGGCCUUGACAUACCAAGAAGUUAAUAGAGAUAUAAGUGUGCUAGUUUACUAGAGCUUGGAUAC